This 210-nucleotide ribosomal RNA is filed under the name uncultured bacterium. RNAcentral describes it as "partial 16S ribosomal RNA". It matches the Rfam family "Bacterial small subunit ribosomal RNA", at positions 524 to 730 of the family's 1533-position model. The record is from RNAcentral.
UACGUAGGGUGCGAGCGUUAAUCGGAAUUACUGGGCGUAAAGCGUGCGCAGGCGGUUUGGCAAGUCAGAUGUGAAAUCCCCGAGCUCAACUUGGGAACUGCGUUUGAAAACUGCCAGACUAGAAUAUGUCAGAGGGGGGGUAGAAUUCCACGUGUAGCAGUGAAAAUGCGUAGAGAUGUGGAGGAAUACCAAUGGCGAAGGCAGCCCCCC